AUUGAACGCUGGCGGCAUGCCUUACACAUGCAAGUCGAACGGCAGCACGGGAGCAAUCCUGGUGGCGAGUGGCGAACGGGUGAGUAAUAUAUCGGAACGUGCCCGGUCGUGGGGAUAACGUAGCGAAAGGCUACGCUAAUACCGCAUACGAUCUACGGAUGAAAGCGGGGGAUCGCAAGACCUCGCGCGAUUGGAGCGGCCGAUAUCAGAUUAGGUAGUUGGUGAGGUAAAGGCUCACCAAGCCGACGAUCUGUAGCUGGUCUGAGAGGACGACCAGCCACACUGGGACUGAGACAUGGCCCAGACUCCUACGGGAGGCAGCAGUGGGAAUUUUGGACAAUGGGCGCAAGCCUGAUCCAGCAAUGCGCGUGCAGGAUGAA
RNAcentral lists this ribosomal RNA (380 nucleotides) under uncultured bacterium. RNAcentral describes it as "bacterial SSU rRNA". It matches the Rfam family "Bacterial small subunit ribosomal RNA", at positions 30 to 412 of the family's 1533-position model. The record is from RNAcentral.